RNAcentral lists this ribosomal RNA (253 nucleotides) under uncultured bacterium. RNAcentral describes it as "partial 16S ribosomal RNA". It matches the Rfam family "Bacterial small subunit ribosomal RNA", at positions 524 to 776 of the family's 1533-position model. The record is from RNAcentral.
UACGGUGGGGGCAAGCGUUGUUCGGAAUUACUGGGCGUAAAGGGCUCGUAGGCGGCCAACUAAGUCAGACGUGAAAUCCCUCGGCUUAACCGGGGAACUGCGUCUGAUACUGGAUGGCUUGAGAUUGGGAGAGGGAUGCGGAAUUCCAGGUGUAGCGGUGAAAUGCGUAGAUAUCAGGAGGAACACCGGUGGCGAAGGCGGGAUCCUGGGCCAGUACUGACGCUGAGGAGCGAAAGCGUGGGGAGCAAACAGG